CGCCCAACAGCUAGCCCCAAAACCAAAACCAACACCAAACUAUACAUACCCCCAAAAACACUUAAAUUUUAAAACUAAAUCAUUCUACCCACCAAGUAUAGGCGAUAGAAAAGGAAACCAGGAGCUAUAGAAACAGUACCGCAAGGGAACGCUGAAAAAGAAAUGAAAGAACCCAGUAAAGCACAAAAAAGCAGAGAUAGAACCUCGUACCUUUUGCAUCAUGAUUUAGCAAGCACCCACCCCGCAAAGCGCACUUUAGUCGGAACCCCCGAAACUAGACGAGCUACUCCAAGACAGCCUAUAAAUAGGGCACACCCUUCUCUGUGGCAAAAGAGUGGGAAGAGCUUUGAGUAGAGGCGACAAACCUACCGAGCCUAGUUAUAGCUGGUUGCCUGAGAACUGAAUCCAAGUUCAGCCUUUUGACUUCUUCCCCCAAAAACCCUAAUUAAACCCACCAGGCCUAAAGAAGACAAAAGAGUUAAACAAAGGGGGUACAGCUCCUUUGUUACAAGAUACAACUUUAACAGAAGGAUAAAGAUCAUAAUAAAACAAGGUACAUGUUCUGGUGGGCCUAAAAGCAGCCACCCACAUUGAUAGCGUUAAAGCUCGAACAUACCCGCCCCCAUUAAUAAUGCUAACAACAUCUUAAUCCUCUAAACCUACCAGGCCCUUCCAUGCAACCAUGGAAGAGAUAAUGCUAAUAUCAGUAAUAAGAGGGCCCGACCCUCUCCUUGCACAAGUGUACAUCGAAACGAACCCCCAUCGAACAUUAACGGAUCCAAAACAAGAGGGCAGUGAAACGCUAAAGAAACAACCAGAAAAACCUCCACACACUAAACCGUUAACCUCACACUAGCGUGCUUACAAGGAAAGACUAAAAAAAAGAGAAGGAACUCGGCAAACACCAAGCCUCGCCUGUUUACCAAAAACAUCGCCUCUUGCAAACAACAAAUAAGAGGUCCCGCCUGCCCUGUGACUAUAUGUUUAACGGCCGCGGUAUUUUGACCGUGCGAAGGUAGCGCAAUCACUUGUCCUUUAAAUGGGGACCUGUAUGAAUGGCACAACGAGGGCUUAACUGUCUCCUCUUUCAAGUCAAUGAAAUUGAUCUCUCCGUGCAGAAGCGGAGAUACUACCAUAAGACGAGAAGACCCUGUGGAGCUUUAGACACCAAAACAGACCAUGUUAAAGACCCUAAAACAAAAGAUUAAACUCAAUGCCCCCUGACUUGAUGUCUUCGGUUGGGGUGACCGAGGAGAAGAACACAACCUCCAUGCGGAAUAGGAGUACUACUCCCACAAUCACGAACCCCCGUUCUAAUUACCAGAAUUUCUGACCCUAUGAUCCGGCAACGCCGAUUAACGAACCAAGUUACCCCAGGGAUAACAGCGCAAUCCCCUUUUAGAGCCCCUAUCAACAAGGGGGUUUACGACCUCGAUGUUGGAUCAGGACAUCCUAAUGGCGCAGCCGCUAUUAAGGGUUCGUUUGUUCAACGAUUAAAGUCCUACGUGAUCUGAGUUCAGACCGGAGUAAUCCAGGUCGGUUUCUAUCUAUGAAGUGAUCUUUCCUAGUACGAAAGGACCGAAAAGAGAAGGCCCAUGCUAAAAGUACGCCUUACCCCCACCUAAUGAAACCAUCUAAAAUAGGUAAGGGGGCACACCCCUCAGCCAUAAACAAUGACAU
This 1680-nucleotide ribosomal RNA is filed under the name Diodon hystrix (spot-fin porcupinefish). RNAcentral's name for it is "16S ribosomal RNA". The stretch from base 96 to 1601 matches the Rfam family "Bacterial large subunit ribosomal RNA". The record is from RNAcentral. Lineage: Eukaryota; Metazoa; Chordata; Actinopteri; Tetraodontiformes; Diodontidae.